This 75-nucleotide transfer RNA is filed under the name Planctomycetota bacterium. Its description in RNAcentral is "Planctomycetes bacterium tRNA-OTHER". It matches the Rfam family "tRNA". From Rfam's summary of the family: Transfer RNA (tRNA) molecules are approximately 80 nucleotides in length. Their secondary structure includes four short double-helical elements and three loops (D, anti-codon, and T loops). Lineage: Bacteria; Pseudomonadati; Planctomycetota. The record is from RNAcentral.
CUGUGGUUAGCUCAAUGGGUAGAGCACCAGACAGUAAUCUGGCUGUAGCGGGUUCGAAUCCCGUACCACGUGCCG